CCUCGGAGAGUUUGAUCCUGGCUCAGGACGAACGCUGGCGGCGUGCCUAAUACAUGCAAGUCGAGCGAACAGAAGGGAGCUUGCUCCCGGAUGUUAGCGGCGGACGGGUGAGUAACACGUGGGUAACCUGCCUGUAAGACUGGGAUAACUCCGGGAAACCGGAGCUAAUACCGGAUAGUUCCUUGAACCGCAUGGUUCAAGGAUGAAAGACGGUUUCGGCUGUCACUUACAGAUGGACCCGCGGCGCAUUAGCUAGUUGGUGGGGUAAUGGCUCACCAAGGCGACGAUGCGUAGCCGACCUGAGAGGGUGAUCGGCCACACUGGGACUGAGACACGGCCCAGACUCCUACGGGAGGCAGCAGUAGGGAAUCUUCCGCAAUGGACGAAAGUCUGACGGAGCAACGCCGCGUGAGUGAUGAAGGUUUUCGGAUCGUAAAGCUCUGUUGUUAGGGAAGAACAAGUGCGAGAGUAACUGCUCGCACCUUGACGGUACCUAACCAGAAAGCCACGGCUAACUACGUGCCAGCAGCCGCGGUAAUACGUAGGUGGCAAGCGUUGUCCGGAAUUAUUGGGCGUAAAGGGCUCGCAGGCGGUUUCUUAAGUCUGAUGUGAAAGCCCCCGGCUCAACCGGGGAGGGUCAUUGGAAACUGGGAAACUUGAGUGCAGAAGAGGAGAGUGGAAUUCCACGUGUAGCGGUGAAAUGCGUAGAGAUGUGGAGGAACACCAGUGGCGAAGGCGACUCUCUGGUCUGUAACUGACGCUGAGGAGCGAAAGCGUGGGGAGCGAACAGGAUUAGAUACCCUGGUAGUCCACGCCGUAAACGAUGAGUGCUAAGUGUUAGGGGGUUUCCGCCCCUUAGUGCUGCAGCUAACGCAUUAAGCACUCCGCCUGGGGAGUACGGUCGCAAGACUGAAACUCAAAGGAAUUGACGGGGGCCCGCACAAGCGGUGGAGCAUGUGGUUUAAUUCGAAGCAACGCGAAGAACCUUACCAGGUCUUGACAUCCUCUGACAACCCUAGAGAUAGGGCUUUCCCUUCGGGGACAGAGUGACAGGUGGUGCAUGGUUGUCGUCAGCUCGUGUCGUGAGAUGUUGGGUUAAGUCCCGCAACGAGCGCAACCCUUGAUCUUAGUU
This 1132-nucleotide ribosomal RNA is filed under the name Bacillus pumilus. RNAcentral's name for it is "bacterial SSU rRNA". It matches the Rfam family "Bacterial small subunit ribosomal RNA", at positions 1 to 1116 of the family's 1533-position model. Lineage: Bacteria; Bacillati; Bacillota; Bacilli; Caryophanales; Bacillaceae. The record is from RNAcentral.